GAUGAAGAACGUAGCGAAAUGCGAUACGUAAUGUGAAUUGCAGAUUUCAGUGAAUCAUCGAAUCUUUGAACGCACAUUGCGCCCGCUAGUAUUCUGGCGGGCAUGCCUGUUCGAGCGUCAUUUCAACCAUCAAGCCCUAGGCUUGCGUUGGAGCCCUGCGGCUGCCGCAGGCUCCCAAAUCCAGUGGCGGGCUCGUCGUCGUACCGAGUGCAGUAAACAUCCGCGCUCAGGGAACGUGACGGGUUCUUGCCGUGAAACCCCCCACAUAUCAAGGUUGACCUCGGAUCAGGUAGGAAUACCCGCUGAACUUAAGCAUAUCAAUAAGCGAGGA
RNAcentral lists this unclassified non-coding RNA (331 nucleotides) under soil metagenome. Its description in RNAcentral is "partial contains 5.8S ribosomal RNA, internal transcribed spacer 2, and large subunit ribosomal RNA". The stretch from base 1 to 120 matches the Rfam family "5.8S ribosomal RNA", at positions 35 to 154 of the family's 154-position model. The record is from RNAcentral.